UGGGGAAUAUUGCACAAUGGGCGCAAGCCUGAUGCAGCGACGCCGCGUGAGGGAUGGAGGCCUUCGGGUUGUAAACCUCUUUCGCCAGUGAAGCAGACCAUCUUCUUUGUGGGGUGGUUGACGGUAGCUGGAUAAGAAGCGCCGGCUAACUACGUGCCAGCAGCCGCGGUAAUACGUAGGGCGCGAGCGUUGUCCGGAAUUAUUGGGCGUAAAGAGCUCGUAGGCGGCUGGUCGCGUCUGUCGUGAAAUCCCCUGGCUUAACUGGGGGCUUGCGGUGGGUACGGGCCGGCUGGAGUGCGGUAGGGGAGAAUGGAAUUCCUGGUGUAGCGGUGGAAUGCGCAGAUAUCAGGAGGAACACCGGUGGCGAAGGCGGGUCUCUGGGCCGUUACUGACGCUGAGGGGCGAAAGCGUGGGGAGCGAACAGG
Molecule: ribosomal RNA, 425 nt
Filed under: bacterium
Lineage: Bacteria
Description: partial 16S ribosomal RNA
Rfam family: Bacterial small subunit ribosomal RNA
Source: RNAcentral